GGACGGAAGGGGUGCUUGUACACUUAACUAUAAAUACUGCUGUAUUUGUGACUAUAAGUUAACGUGUUUGAGGUAAUUGCUUAUUAUCCAAAUUUUUAUCUGGUAAGUUUUUCAGUUAUUGCUUAUCAUCCAUCUUUUUGUCUGGUAAGUUUUUCUGCAUAAGUAAACUUUUAGUAUGACAUUAACAGGAACAUUGUCAAAUCAUUUUGUCGUUUGAACUAGGAGGCUAGGACGUAAACAAUUUCAUGUAAAUUCAAGUGUAAAUAGUAAUUUUAAUAAUAACGUUUUAAAGAUCGAUUAUACAUGCUCAAAUCAAUGCAUUAGUGAAGAAUAUUCGAUUGAUAUCAAAAUUUCCUAAUAGUCGCACAAAUUAAGCAUACAUUUUUUUCCUCACAGAAAGAAUGUCGUCAAAGCUGUCUGGUGUGCUUGCUCUAAUAUGUGUUUUAUGGUUAGAGAACACUAAUGCCACGG
This 471-nucleotide long non-coding RNA is filed under the name Mytilus galloprovincialis (Mediterranean mussel). The record is from RNAcentral. Lineage: Eukaryota; Metazoa; Mollusca; Bivalvia; Mytilida; Mytilidae.